UACGGAGGGUGCGAGCGUUGUCCGGAAUCACUGGGCGUAAAGGGCGCGUAGGCGGCGCGGGAAGUCCGUGGUGAAAGCCCGAGGCUCAACUUCGGGUCGGCCCAUGGGAUACUCCUGGGCUCGAGCACUGUAGAGGCAGGUGGAAUUCCGGGUGUAGCGGUGGGAAUGCGUAGAGAUCCGGAAGAACACCGGUGGCGAAGGCGGCC
This 206-nucleotide ribosomal RNA is filed under the name uncultured bacterium. RNAcentral's name for it is "partial 16S ribosomal RNA". It matches the Rfam family "Bacterial small subunit ribosomal RNA", at positions 524 to 726 of the family's 1533-position model. The record is from RNAcentral.